GGGCAGGUACCAAAGUGGACAACUGGAGCAGACUGUAAAUCUGCUGGUCUCGGCCUUCGGGGGUUCGAAUCCCUCUCUGCCCACAA
This 86-nucleotide transfer RNA is filed under the name Candidatus Moraniibacteriota bacterium. Its description in RNAcentral is "tRNA-Tyr". It matches the Rfam family "tRNA". From Rfam's summary of the family: Transfer RNA (tRNA) molecules are approximately 80 nucleotides in length. Their secondary structure includes four short double-helical elements and three loops (D, anti-codon, and T loops). Further hydrogen bonds mediate the characteristic L-shaped molecular structure. tRNAs have two regions of fundamental functional importance: the anti-codon, which is responsible for specific mRNA codon recognition, and the 3' end, to which the tRNAs corresponding amino acid is attached (by aminoacyl-tRNA synthetases). tRNAs cope with the degeneracy of the genetic code in two manners: having more than one tRNA (with a specific anti-codon) for a particular amino acid; and 'wobble' base-pairing, i.e. permitting non-standard base-pairing at the 3rd anti-codon position. The record is from RNAcentral. Lineage: Bacteria; Candidatus Moraniibacteriota.